This 574-nucleotide long non-coding RNA is filed under the name Trifolium pratense (red clover). RNAcentral describes it as "long non-coding RNA (TPRA_LNC006962)". Lineage: Eukaryota; Viridiplantae; Streptophyta; Magnoliopsida; Fabales; Fabaceae. The record is from RNAcentral.
AAUAAUUUUUCCAAUAUGAAUGUGUCUGGAUGAACAGCGUUAACAAUGGAUUUCGCGUGGAUGUCAUUCCAUGGAAGGUCGUGAGUUACAAUAUCAUUGGUUGUCAUGAAAAUAUAUUUCGGUAACUAGGUACCGGAAUUUACCCAGAUUUCGGUAAAUAUCUGCCGAACCAGCCUAUUUCCAGUGAACAACCGAAAUUUUCGGUAGAUUGGUACCGAAGUAUGCUGUUCUUUCGGCAAAUAGUUACCGAACUCAAAUUUCGGUAAACAUCUGCCGAACCGUACAAAUUCCAGUGAACCACUGAAAUUUUCGGUAGAUUGGUACCGAAAUAAGGGGGUAUGAUAGUCAACUUCGGUGAAUAUUAACCGAACUCGUAAACUUCGGGGAAUGCGAACCGAAAUGUGUUUAAAUUUACAACUGUUUACUGGGGGUAUAAAAGAAAACUGGGGGGUAGAAAAGAUGUAAGCAUAUGCCUAAAAACUUGUUAAAAAUCAUAUAAAUAACUUAAUCGAUACGAACCCGUCAUAUAAUUUAUAUUUGAGAUUACACCGACACUUUUUGUGGUCGAGAUUNN